RNAcentral lists this long non-coding RNA (8452 nucleotides) under Brassica napus (rape). RNAcentral's name for it is "long non-coding RNA (BNAP_LNC011675)". Lineage: Eukaryota; Viridiplantae; Streptophyta; Magnoliopsida; Brassicales; Brassicaceae. The record is from RNAcentral.
GUUACAACACAAAGUCGACAAGGAUCACAACCCUUUCAAAGACUAAAGCCGGCGAUAUCAUUAAAUCGAACAUUCCAGAGAUAAUAAGAAAGAAAGUUAAAUAUAAUGCCAAAGAUAUACCCAUUAUCCUAGAGUAAACAUAUCUAAAAUCAAAGGAGAAUGUACUUGAAACACUUAAGAACCAAGGGCGCUAAAAUUGAACUAUAUAGUGAGGACGGACAAGCGCCCAUUUUGAAAACCUUGGAAAAGCACGUGCUGAACCCACGAACCAGAACUUUAGAAGAACAUAAACCACCACAGGUCAGAACCACAUAUUCACCGAUUACGGCGUAAACAAAAGAAUCUGCAAAGACAAACCGGAUCCUCAAGGGAGGAAAGCACAAGAUCAAGUCUUAAGACUCCAAAAGCUGACAACGUCAAAAAGGACUAACGGCUCAAACAUGCGGACACUCAUGUUCCCAAACUCAACCAUAUAUAAGCAAGAGAAUGGUCACCUCCUCGCGAGAGAAGAGUCGGAGAUUCAAACCACUACUUUUUUUUUAAACCUCACUACACACCACAAAGGCAAGGAGAAGGCAAGUAGAUAGCUCCACAGCGACUUACCAUUCAAAAGACGGACCCCGCAAACGAGACCUUGACAAACCCGAGUCACCAACAGAUCCAGAGAGCAAGAUGAAGCAGGAGCACCCCCAGUAUAAAAGCUACGACUAGCAGAAAGUACAACAGCAACAAAGAAACCAGACCCGUAAUACAUAGCCCCACCAUAUAAUGUUAUGUCGAGAUGGCUUACAAAUACUCCUGAAAUCCCAAAGAAGACAAGACAACACUAACCCACACAAAAACACACUUGACUGACAACUGACAACUAAAUAAUGAGAGAUAAGAAACUCGAACUGUAUCCAAUAGGUUUCAUAAACAUCGAUUAACAAGCUACAUAACAAGAUCCAAAAGAACAACUAACCCCAUAUUUGAACCGGUUCAAAACACCACCGAAAACCAGAUCAAAGAUUCGAAUAUCACCAGCAGCGCCAACUGACUUUAAAACCGUCAAGAACUCAAUUGCUCAAACUCCCAUGAUAAAAAAGAAAGACAAGGACUUAAGAGAACGAGGAAAAAGAAGUGCCUCUAUAGAAUUGGUGAGGAACGCUGGUGAAAUAACUAAGCUAGCGAUAAGUUGAAAAAAAAUAGUUAAGACCUCUCGCCUGAUACUUAUAGCUUCUUAUAUACUCAUUCUGUUUCAUAAUAAAUGUCAUUCUAGUUUUUUUUUUUUUAUACAAAAAUGUCACUUUACAAUUCCAAUGCAAAUUAUACUUACUUUCAGAUGAAAAUUAAUUGCAAACUACAUUGGUUUUAUAAAUAAUUUUAUUUAUUUUAAAUAUUAUUGGUCAGAAAGAUGUAAUUAAUAACAACUUAUAUAUAUAUUUCCGCUACUUUUUUAGUUUGUGUUCAAAGUGUUAAAGUGACACUUAUUCAGAAACGGAGAGAGUAUAUGACAUGAAAAAUAUUUUGCAUCUUAGAUUCAUAAUUUUUCACUGUCUUAUUAUAGAGUUUUUUUUAAUGAUUUUAAAAAUAACUCUUCUUAACAAAACAAAACAAAACAAAACAAAAAUGUUUGAAUCCGAUAGUCAAAUAUAUGGAAAAAUGAUUAUUUGUAAUUGUUACGGUAUUAAUCUAUAUGGUUUAUGCAAACAACAAAAUCCAUUUAAGCUUUAAUUAGACCAUUCUCGUUUUUCUAAGAUUAUUGUACUCCUAACGCUCGGCGCAAAACAACACUUUACCACCCGUUUUUUUUUUCAUCUACCAACCCGUUAUUGUCUCCACAUGGAAAUAAUGAAUUUAAUAGCUCCAUAAUUAAAAAAAAAAAUAGCUCCAUAGUUAAAACUGGUAAAACACGUAAUAGACUAAUCAUAUUCAUAGAAUGUGAUGUUUGACAAAAAAAAGAAGAGAAUCAUACGAAUGUGAUUUGACUUAACAACCCUAGUCAAACCACAUUAUUUCCUCUCUAAAUCCACCAAUCACACGUAAACACACACCUCUUCGUUUCUUUUUUUUUUCUUUUUCUAACAACACCUCUUCGAUUUUUUUUGAACUGAAAAAUUCUUUUAGUUAGGUAAGUAAGGGGGAUUCGAACCCGGGUUCAAAGAAACCUCUUCGUUUCAUUCUAUUCCUUUCCUUUUUUUUAUCUAGGUGUGUGUACACAAAAAGACACACCUAGCUACAUUUCUAUUAUCAUAUAAAACUUUAACUUUACCUUUCCUCUUCCAAUAAAAAAACUAUCUUCUCUUCACCAAAUUCUGUUGCUCCAUCCUCUAUGGCCCUCUCACCUAAAUCAAGCUCGUUAGAAUUAUCAAUAUCGCUUCCAAGCUUCUCUCAAUUAUCUUCACACCCUUCAUCUGGUAAGGUCCAAAGAUUGAUAUCAAAAUCAUCUAUAUAUAUUAUAUAGAGUUGUAAUAGCUGUCUCUGAAAUUGUUUGAUAUAUAAUAUAUUUUCUUAGGUGAGCACAUGGUGAGAGAUUUGGACAUAAAUCAAACUCCAAAGACGGAAGAUCGUGAGUGGAUGAUGAUCGCUGCAGAACCGUAUGCCAACGACGAAGAUAGCAACUCCUGCGGCCGGCGGCGCAAAAAGCUCCGUCUAACUAAAGAGCAAUCACAUCUUCUUGAAGACAGUUUCAUACAAAAGCAUACCUUAACCUCUGUAAGUAUAUGUAUUAAACUAUUUUAUGGUACAUAUGUUUUGCUUACGUUAGAAAAAGAAGAAAACAAGAGAGUUGAUUUUCUGAUCAUCAUGUCGGCUGAUUAUGUUUUGGUUGAAUAAUAAUGAAACCACAGAAACAAAAACUAGAAUUGGCCACUUUUUUGAAGCUUAGUCAAAGGCAAGUUGAGGUGUGGUUUCAAAAUCGAAGAGCUCGGUACGUCCUUCAAUCUACCGCUUUCGUAUAUUGCAUCGUUUAUAAUACAUAUAAAUUGAGGAAAAUACGAUUUAUACCGUAUCGAAAUUAUAUUUGUAUAUACAUAUACGGCAAAGCAUGUUAUAUGUGUAGACUUUUUUGGAAUUAUGUUUUAUGGUGGUUGAGAAUAUAUUAAUUUAUGAGAGUGCGUUGACAGAAUAUUUAAUAUAAGAUCGUGUGUAAUCGUAACUUAGAUUCUAAACAUAAUUAACCUUAUAUACAAUAAGUAGUUUUGAAAAAUGGAGUAAAGUGGAAGUGAGCCACUUUUAUCCAAGUGUUUUUGUCAUUGAUUCCCACAUAUACAGUUAUCACGCAUUCUAUGCGACACAUGAAAAAGCAUGUAUUCUUAUUCUUAUAUAAAUGUCCCGUGAUUAAAAUCAAAAAUAUUAUAGAAUCUAAUUAAUGCAUCAACAAGAAAAAAAAAGCGUUAGGGAACAUGAGGGACAAAGUUAGAGACAGUUAACAAUGUGUAUAUUUCUUUUAGCCAUCUUUGGCCGGUCCACAAUUAUGAUGUUUGUCCUAUAUAAUAGGCAUAUUGCUUUAAUGAAACAUAAACUUAAAACACUGCACACAUACACUUUUUAACAAUGUUUUCUCUAUACAUUUGUGUGUAUAUAUAUAUUCAUAUAUAUUAUGCAAAAUUCAGUAAAGAAAAAAGUUUACAUAUAUAUAUAAAAGUAAGCUCAAGCAUAUGGUUGGUGUAAGAUAAAACCUAAAAACUACAAAUGGCGCAUGCAUGCAUUUUUUUUUUUUGUGUCAACGCAUGCAUUUUAAUAGUACGCAUAGCUCAGUCAACCAAUAUCAUAUAUAGGAGUAAGCUCAAGCAUACGGAGAUGGAAUGUAAGUAUCUAAAGAGAUGCUUUGGGUCAUUGAAGGAGCAAAAUCGACUUCUACAAAAAGAAGUUGAAGAACUACGAGCUCUAAACGCAAUGCCGGCCUCGAUUUUAACCAUGUGUCCUCGUUGUGAACGUGCGACUGAUGCAACAGAUAAUGCCGUCAAGGAGGGAACAGCUACGAGAAGCCAGUCACGGAGGACAAUUUCCUCUUCCUCUUCCCUGUGUUGACUGGUUCGGUCAAAAGUCAAAUAUUGAAACGUCUAUUUAGAGUGAAGAGUAAAGAUUUGAUGAUUAAUUAGGAGGAUUUUGUGCAUAGUUCUUAAAUUAUUUAUCACAUCAAUGAGGAGAAAAAAGAAUUUGUUUAUUCCUCGUUUUAUAGGGUUCUUAUGUUUUUCUAACUUUACUUAUGGAUUCGUAAGUCCGUAACUUUAUUUUUCGUGUCCGUUUGGAUUGAAUCGGACUAUUAGUGACUUGAAAAUAGAUGUUAUAUCUUGUCUACCCGGCGUAUGUAGAGUACAAACUGAAUGGGAAACUAGAUAUUAGUGUAUUGACGUCAUUAUUAUUUGACUUCCACAAGUUUCAAAUAUGGCUGGCUAUUUGUUCCUUGACUUAAAUAAAUAAUACAAUGUUCUGAACCAGAUUGUGGAUGACUCAUAACCAAGAGAUUAUGAUUUGUAAUCUUUCCAUUUAUCUAUGACGGUGUAAUCUCCUAUAUAAGAAAUCUCUAUAUUAUAAAUAAAGAUAGAAUUUUCCAUUACUUUUAUAACACGUUAUCAGCACGAAACUCUAAAUCCCUAAGCUAAUACCCAAAUCGGAAAACCCUAAAACCCUAACCCUAGCCGGCGGUCCGACGAACCCUAAUCCGAUCGCGCCUCUUGUUCCCGCGUCUAUUCCAGCUCGCGUCCCCGUCUCAGCUUCAGACGAUCACAGUCCGAUCUCAGCCUCAGCCCGCAUCCAGGACAGCUCGCGUUCCCGAUCAGACGUCCGCAAGCCGAUAGCGAUUGGCGCGCAAGCAUACCGUUCGCGUUCCGACGAUCAAGGCGUUCCCGAUCAGCUCGUGUUCAGCUCGCGUUCGUUCCCGUUUGUGUUGCAGCUCGCGGUUCAUAAUCUUUGGUGGUCCGGUUUCAACAAUUAUCUAAGUUAAAGGUAAUUCGAAACCUAAGAACCUAUAAUCGAAUUUGGAUUGAUUGAUAAAGAAUGAAACUCUAAAAUCCUAAUAUUUAUGAAAACCAUAGGGUAAUAGAUCAAAACCCUAUUGAGUAAAUCGAAUCUCAAAAGUUCGAUACCCCAAACCCUAAAUCGAGAUUGAUCUAUUGAUCAAUUAAAAUCAAAAUCAUUAAUGGUUUUGAAUCUCAAAUCAAACCCCUUUGAUCUAAUGAUCAAAUUCGAAACCCUAAACCCUAAUUUGAAAAUCGAUUUUGAUUGUUUGAAUUUGAAUCUUCAUUGAUUGUUUUGAUCACCUAGAACUGUUGCUAAGAUUGUUUAAACUCGAAUCUGAAUGAAUUGAAAUUGCUUUGCUUGUUUUAAAAUAUGUAAACCCUAAAUUACGUGUGCAUGGAUUGUUUUAUUUGAUUGAUUGAAUGUUUCUUUGAGGUUUAAAUCCGUGUGAGUUAGGAUUGAUAGUUUUUAUAACCUGAUUGAAUGAUUUGAGGUUUAAUAUUGCAUGUUAGAAUCUGUUAUAAUAUAAACCCUAAUUCGAAUUGAUAAACCCUAAAAUAGAAUCAGUGUAUUGCAUAAUCCGAAUUGAAUGUUUUGAAGUUUCAUAUUAUACUAGGUUGAUAGUUUCAUGAUAUAAUCAACUGUUCUGAGGUUUAAGAUUAUUUGCUAGAAGCUGAUUGAUUGAUAAAACCCUAAUUUCGAAUUGAAACCCUAAACCCUAAUUUGCGUAUUCCUAAAAUCAGAUUGCUUGAUUUACUCUCUUAUUUUUUCUAGAAUUCUCUUAUCGUUUCUUUUUUUAAUUUAAACAUUUUCAAUCUAAUGCACUAAUAUAUAUUAUUUACAAAAUGGUUUUUUUAUUAUUUUUCUUUUACAAGUCACAUUAAUUCUAAAAUCACAUUAAUUCUAAAAUGACACUUAUAGCAUAAAACGACAUAACAUAUUUUAAAAUGAAAUUCAUUGCAUUAACACUACGUAUUAUAUUUUGAACCCACAGGUUCUACUGCCAUAUUCUUUUUUUUUUUUUUCUGAAAAGAUCUACUACCAUAUUCUUGAUUCAGUAGUUGUGGAGCUACUGCCAUAUUCUUGGUUCAGAGAACCAAUGGGCUUCACUGAGCUCAUUAAUCAGCCGACUUAACUAGUUACCAUUGUGGUCAUUUUAUCUUCAAUGUAUUAAGUAUGGAACCAACAAGUCGCUUGUAAUCUUUCAAGAGAACCUGUACUUUUAUGUUCCUGUCUUGGAUUCUUCAACGAACCAAUUCGCUGGACCGGGAAGAAAGAAAUUAUUCAACAGAACCGGGGGAAAAUAGUAAACCGAAGUGAAAUAAUAAACCGGAUCAAUGUCGGCUAAAGAAAGCAAACGCAGGUAGUGGGACCCCUAACAACUUCACUUUGGUUGCAAAAGCCGAAAGGCAUUGAUGUUUUGGAAGAGCCAAUAAGUAUAGACAUUAGGAAAUCUUGUGGCAUGCAUGCCAAUUAUAACGCGUUAAUUGUCUCCCAAUAAUGCGAAAGUACAUAUCAUUAAAUAUUAAAUAAAGUCUUUAGUUAAACAUUUUUAUGUAUAAACCUUAAAUACUUACCGUAUUUUUGUUUCAGUUUAGUUAUCGUUGUAGAGUAAAAUUUUCGUUUCAUAAUAAGUGUCAUUUUAUAAUUUCAAUGUAAAAUUUAUUAACUUUAUAUUCUAAUCUAUUUUACUUUUGGUUAAAAGUUACAACGUAUUUAGGUGUAUUGGUAAUAAUGUUUUUAUUUAAUAAAUAUACAAAAUUAAAUAUUUUUUUAAUAUAUGUGCACAGUGGUGGAACCAGAAAUAUUUUGUAUUUAUGGGAUCAAAAUUUAUUUUUAAAUAGGGUCAAAAUAAUUUUGGUUUAACAAAACCAAAAAAGUUUUAAGAAAUAGUGGGGUCAGUUAGCUCCACUCUUCAUAUGCUGCCUCUGCCGCCCCUGUGUGUGCACAAGUCUAAAACGAUAAUUAUAAUGAAACAGAUGGAAUAUAUGUUAGUGUAUAUACUCACAAAAAAAAAAUUGACUAUCUUUUAUACAUACAAGUAACUUAAUGAUAUUAUUGGCCUACCGGACUCAUCUUAGUGAUUAAGAUAUUGUAAUUGUUCAACUAACAAGCAGAUCCAAUAGUAAUAUUUCUUGUAUAAAUACUCGCAGAGGCACCUUAUAUAUAAAUAUCAGUUAAAAAUCAACCAUGUUACACUUUUACAGUGUCGAAUUAUUCAAAUUAUUUGAAAUAUAGUUUUUUGUAUAUAUUUUGGAUGGUACAUGAUUAAAACUUGAAGCUAUGAAAAAAAAUCCUGGAUCUUUUUUUUAAUCAUCUUUAAAUUUAUUAAAACGUUUAAAAUCACCGUUACAACACAAAGUCGACAAGGAUCACAACCCUUUCAAAGACUAAAGCCGGCGAUAUCAUUAAAUCGAACAUUCCAGAGAUAAUAAGAAAGAAAGUUAAAUAUAAUGCCAAAGAUAUACCCAUUAUCCUAGAGUAAACAUAUCUAAAAUCAAAGGAGAAUGUACUUGAAACACUUAAGAACCAAGGGCGCUAAAAUUGAACUAUAUAGUGAGGACGGACAAGCGCCCAUUUUGAAAACCUUGGAAAAGCACGUGCUGAACCCACGAACCAGAACUUUAGAAGAACAUAAACCACCACAGGUCAGAACCACAUAUUCACCGAUUACGGCGUAAACAAAAGAAUCUGCAAAGACAAACCGGAUCCUCAAGGGAGGAAAGCACAAGAUCAAGUCUUAAGACUCCAAAAGCUGACAACGUCAAAAAGGACUAACGGCUCAAACAUGCGGACACUCAUGUUCCCAAACUCAACCAUAUAUAAGCAAGAGAAUGGUCACCUCCUCGCGAGAGAAGAGUCGGAGAUUCAAACCACUACUUUUUUUUUAAACCUCACUACACACCACAAAGGCAAGGAGAAGGCAAGUAGAUAGCUCCACAGCGACUUACCAUUCAAAAGACGGACCCCGCAAACGAGACCUUGACAAACCCGAGUCACCAACAGAUCCAGAGAGCAAGAUGAAGCAGGAGCACCCCCAGUAUAAAAGCUACGACUAGCAGAAAGUACAACAGCAACAAAGAAACCAGACCCGUAAUACAUAGCCCCACCAUAUAAUGUUAUGUCGAGAUGGCUUACAAAUACUCCUGAAAUCCCAAAGAAGACAAGACAACACUAACCCACACAAAAACACACUUGACUGACAACUGACAACUAAAUAAUGAGAGAUAAGAAACUCGAACUGUAUCCAAUAGGUUUCAUAAACAUCGAUUAACAAGCUACAUAACAAGAUCCAAAAGAACAACUAACCCCAUAUUUGAACCGGUUCAAAACACCACCGAAAACCAGAUCAAAGAUUCGAAUAUCACCAGCAGCGCCAACUGACUUUAAAACCGUCAAGAACUCAAUUGCUCAAACUCCCAUGAUAAAAAAGAAAGACAAGGACUUAAGAGAACGAGGAAAAAGAAGUGCCUCUAUAGAAUUGGUGAGGAACGCUGGUGAAAUAACUAAG